UACAGAGACUCGAAGCGUUAAGCGGAAUUACUGGGCGUAAAGUGCGCGUAGGUGGCUUGAUAAGCCGGGUGUGAAAGCCCCGGGCUCAACCUGGGAACGGCAUCCGGAACUGUCAAGCUAGAGUACAGGAGAGGAAGGUAGAAUUCCCGGUGUAGCGGUGAAAUGCGUAGAGAUCGGGAGGAAUACCAGUGGCGAAGGCGGCCUUCUGGACUGAUACUGACACUGAGGUGCGAAAGCGUGGGUAGCAAACAGG
RNAcentral lists this unclassified non-coding RNA (253 nucleotides) under uncultured Halomonadaceae bacterium. RNAcentral describes it as "contains 16S-23S intergenic spacer region". It matches the Rfam family "Bacterial small subunit ribosomal RNA", at positions 524 to 776 of the family's 1533-position model. Lineage: Bacteria; Pseudomonadati; Pseudomonadota; Gammaproteobacteria; Oceanospirillales; Halomonadaceae. The record is from RNAcentral.